This 707-nucleotide long non-coding RNA is filed under the name Gossypium raimondii (Peruvian cotton). RNAcentral describes it as "long non-coding RNA (GRAI_LNC009622)". The record is from RNAcentral. Lineage: Eukaryota; Viridiplantae; Streptophyta; Magnoliopsida; Malvales; Malvaceae.
GAGUGUCUCCCUUAAGAUCUUCACCUAAAAAGGUAACCAAUCAAACACUUAAACUAAGGAUUCAAAUAAAACGAGCAAAAUCCUAUUUCGCAGUGACGAAAUGACGGAAUGAGAUAACGGCAGAACUUACACAACAGCCGUACAAUUGAUGAAACGAGCAACAAAAGAAUUCCCGAUUAACACAAUAUCAAUUACAGAAGCAAGCAAAAAGAUAAAAAAAAUAUAAGAAGAAGAAAAACAAAGAAAAUAGGAAAAGAAACAAAAAGAAAAGAACGAUAGACUUAGUUCAAAAUAAUUUAAGUUAACCACCAACCAGACUUCCAGCAUUUAGCAAAAAAAAAAAAUCCCUUAUCGUAGGUUAUCUUUAAAAUAAAAUGGUAAAACUUCUAAAGACGCAACUCAAACUCUUGACCUUGAUCACAUAAGCAUAACAUAGAACCACAAAUAUAAAAACUUAAUUACAACAAAAAAUCCACAAUCAAAUAUUAAAAUUUUGAGGCGUUACAGUCCAUACCGCAGGGGCUUUGCCCCUACAACCGUAGUCCAGUUUUGUGUUUAAUGGGAAUCUUACCAUUGUAUUUAUUUUUUCAACAAAUGAUGAGAUUCGGGUCUCACAAUCUCUAAUAAUAUUAAAAUUUAAUAUAAAAAAAUAAAAAGCAGAAUCAAACUAUGAUAGAUGAUAAUUCAAAAAUUCCAAAAAAAAACCC